This 843-nucleotide ribosomal RNA is filed under the name Staphylococcus kloosii. Its description in RNAcentral is "bacterial SSU rRNA". It matches the Rfam family "Bacterial small subunit ribosomal RNA", at positions 45 to 873 of the family's 1533-position model. Lineage: Bacteria; Bacillati; Bacillota; Bacilli; Caryophanales; Staphylococcaceae. The record is from RNAcentral.
AGCUAUAAUGCAGUCGAGCGAACAGAUAAGGAGCUUGCUCCUUUGACGUUAGCGGCGGACGGGUGAGUAACACGUGGGUAACCUACCUAUAAGACUGGAAUAACUUCGGGAAACCGAAGCUAAUGCCGGAUAACAUGUAGAACCGCAUGGUUCUACAGUGAAAGAUGGCCUUGCUAUCACUUAUAGAUGGACCCGCGCCGUAUUAGCUAGUUGGUAAGGUAACGGCUUACCAAGGCAACGAUACGUAGCCGACCUGAGAGGGUGAUCGGCCACACUGGAACUGAGACACGGUCCAGACUCCUACGGGAGGCAGCAGUAGGGAAUCUUCCGCAAUGGGCGAAAGCCUGACGGAGCAACGCCGCGUGAGUGAUGAAGGUCUUCGGAUCGUAAAGCUCUGUUAUUAGGGAAGAACAAGUGCGUAAGUAACUGUGCGCACCUUGACGGUACCUAAUCAGAAAGCCACGGCUAACUACGUGCCAGCAGCCGCGGUAAUACGUAGGUGGCAAGCGUUAUCCGGAAUUAUUGGGCGUAAAGCGCGCGUAGGCGGUUUCUUAAGUCUGAUGUGAAAGCCCACGGCUCAACCGUGGAGGGUCAUUGGAAACUGGGAGACUUGAGUGCAGAAGAGGAAAGUGGAAUUCCAUGUGUAGCGGUGAAAUGCGCAGAGAUAUGGAGGAACACCAGUGGCGAAGGCGACUUUCUGGUCUGUAACUGACGCUGAUGUGCGAAAGCGUGGGGAUCAAACAGGAUUAGAUACCCUGGUAGUCCACGCCGUAAACGAUGAGUGCUAAGUGUUAGGGGGUUUCCGCCCCUUAGUGCUGCAGCUAACGCAUUAAGCACUCCGCC